CGCGUAGGCGGCUCUGUAAGUCGGAUCUGAAAGCCCUGGGCUUAACCUGGGAAUUGCAUUCGAUACUGCAGAGCUAGAGUAUGGUAGAGGGAAGUGGAAUUUCCGGUGUAGCGGUGAAAUGCGUAGAUAUCGGAAGGAACACCAGUGGCGAAGGCGACUUCCUGGGCCAAUACUGACGCUGAGGUGCGAAAGCGUGGGGAGCAAACA
This 207-nucleotide ribosomal RNA is filed under the name uncultured bacterium. RNAcentral's name for it is "partial 16S ribosomal RNA". It matches the Rfam family "Bacterial small subunit ribosomal RNA", at positions 568 to 774 of the family's 1533-position model. The record is from RNAcentral.